AACAAUGUCUUUUAUAAAUAGACACCCAGAGUCACGAAGUGUUCAGGAGAAAUCCGGUGGACAUAUACAUGGAUCUAGUAGGAUUUAUCCUACUUUGUUUGUGUACGGUUAUGCGAGUAUACCUCGUAUACACUGUCGUGCUCGCGGUUGAUCUUAGAGCAAGUUGUUGUCGUUUUAAUCCAAUGUGGUUGGGCAAGGAAGAGUCUAUCAAUGCUGGGAGUUCUAAUAAUUGAGCUCUUUAUUCGGUAUUUUCUUCAAACAUUU
Molecule: small nucleolar RNA, 264 nt
Filed under: Tetrapisispora phaffii CBS 4417
Lineage: Eukaryota; Fungi; Ascomycota; Saccharomycetes; Saccharomycetales; Saccharomycetaceae
Description: Small nucleolar RNA snR11
Rfam family: Small nucleolar RNA snR11
Source: Rfam by way of RNAcentral